Long non-coding RNA from Ruditapes philippinarum (Manila clam), 514 nucleotides. RefSeq lists it as uncharacterized. The transcript is spliced from 3 exons. The record is from RefSeq and is a predicted model, not a curated record. NCBI's taxonomy places the organism in Eukaryota, Metazoa, Mollusca, Bivalvia, Venerida, Veneridae.
GAUGGAUUAGAUAAGCAGAUUCAACUUACACAAAAGGAAAUAUCAAAAUACGAGGAUGAAGCUUACAAUGAGGAACGCGGUGCUGUUGACCUCGAAGACCGAGCUAGCGAUCUUCGACGUAAAUCAGAGAGAACAUAAAGAAAAGGGAUGGCUAUGGGGCGUUGGAUCACUGUUAGUUGGAAUAGUAUUUGUACCAUUUACAUUGGGUGCUUCACUCGGAGCAGGGUUGGUAUCUGCAGGUGUUGGCAUGGCCGUGAACUUUGAUGACGCCAAUGAUUGUGAGCGUACUGCUGCAAGCCUUAAAGUUAGUGCACGGGAUAAGAAGGAACUGGCUCAAAGAAAGCGGAAUUUAAAGGCAGAGUAAUGAAUCAAAAAAGUGCACGAAAACAAUCGAGCUUAGAAAUUGCAGAACAAAAAUUGACCAUCUGGCAAGGACGUGUGAUGGGCUAGCCAGCCUUGAAGGACUUCUGACAGAGUCAAUAUCAAGGCUUCGAAACGUGCCAUUUAUAUUGCA